UACGUAGGGUGCUAGCGUUGUCCGGAUUUAUUGGGCGUAAAGAGCUUGUAGGCGGCCAUGUAGGUCCGGUGUGAAAACUCGAGGCUUAACCUCGAGAUGUCAUCGGAAACCAUUUGGCUAGAGUCCGGAAGAGGAGAGUGGAAUUCCUGGUGUAGCGGUGAAAUGCGCAGAUAUCAGGAAGAACACCGGUGGCGAAGGCGGGUCUCUGGGCCGAUACUGACGCUGAGGAGCGAAAGCGUGGGGAGCGAACAGG
RNAcentral lists this ribosomal RNA (253 nucleotides) under uncultured bacterium. RNAcentral's name for it is "partial 16S ribosomal RNA". It matches the Rfam family "Bacterial small subunit ribosomal RNA", at positions 524 to 776 of the family's 1533-position model. The record is from RNAcentral.